Molecule: ribosomal RNA, 761 nt
Filed under: Micrococcus luteus
Lineage: Bacteria; Bacillati; Actinomycetota; Actinomycetes; Micrococcales; Micrococcaceae
Description: bacterial SSU rRNA
Rfam family: Bacterial small subunit ribosomal RNA
Source: RNAcentral
CGGGGCUUAACCCCGGAUCUGCGGUGGGUACGGGCAGACUAGAGUGCAGUAGGGGAGACUGGAAUUCCUGGUGUAGCGGUGGAAUGCGCAGAUAUCAGGAGGAACACCGAUGGCGAAGGCAGGUCUCUGGGCUGUAACUGACGCUGAGGAGCGAAAGCAUGGGGAGCGAACAGGAUUAGAUACCCUGGUAGUCCAUGCCGUAAACGUUGGGCACUAGGUGUGGGGACCAUUCCACGGUUUCCGCGCCGCAGCUAACGCAUUAAGUGCCCCGCCUGGGGAGUACGGCCGCAAGGCUAAAACUCAAAGGAAUUGACGGGGGCCCGCACAAGCGGCGGAGCAUGCGGAUUAAUUCGAUGCAACGCGAAGAACCUUACCAAGGCUUGACAUGUUUUCGAUCGCCGUGGAGACACGGUUUCCCCUUUGGGGCGGAUUCACAGGUGGUGCAUGGUUGUCGUCAGCUCGUGUCGUGAGAUGUUGGGUUAAGUCCCGCAACGAGCGCAACCCUCGUUCCAUGUUGCCAGCACGUUGUGGUGGGGACUCAUGGGAGACUGCCGGGGUCAACUCGGAGGAAGGUGAGGACGACGUCAAAUCAUCAUGCCCCUUAUGUCUUGGGCUUCACGCAUGCUACAAUGGCCGGUACAAUGGGUUGCGAUACUGUGAGGUGGAGCUAAUCCCAAAAAGCCGGUCUCAGUUCGGAUUGGGGUCUGCAACUCGACCCCAUGAAGUCGGAGUCGCUAGUAAUCGCAGAUCAGCAACGCUGC